GAUUCUCCCGUGCUAGGUCCUCAGAAGAAAACCCAGAUUUCUGUGCAGCGCUCCCCACGCCCUCGGGAGUGCCUCCGAGCGCCCGGAAACCUGGACAGAUCUAAAAGAUGCCCUUCCCAGUGUGCCUCUGGCCCCCCAAAGCCAACCACACUUCACCUUUGAAUGGCAUGGCCCAGAGAUUGGGAUCAGCAGUCAGCUGACAUGGACCAGUCUACCAUAUGGAUUCAAAAAGUCUCCCACUAACUUUGAUGAAGUUCUACAUGAAGACCUGGGUAAUACUGUGUCUGACCUGAUCUGAGGGACACUCCCCUGCCUGAUGUGGACGUCACCCGGUACACUUGGAGCAGUUUUGUACAAGAUGAACAGAGGGACGCAGGGGCAGUGACCACUUCAGAGGAGGUGAUCGGAGCCAACGCCUACAGGCACUUCCACUCAAUGGGCAGAAUGGGUGACCUUGACCAAAGCUCUAGAACUGAGACAAGACAAUAGCUGCUCUGCAUUUGCACCGCUCAUCUCCCUGGGGCGAUGUAUAAAGAAAGGGGACUACUGACUGCGGAGGGAAAAUCUAUUAAAAAUAAUAAAGAAAUUCUGGCCCUCCUCAAGGUCCUAUGGAAGCCUAAAAAAGUGACCAUCAUGCACCGUCCAGGACACCAGAAAGGGGAUGGGCCCAACAAUUUGGCAGAUAAAACUGCCCAGGAAGUAGCAGUGCAACCUUAGUAGAACCAGGAUCCCCUGCCUUACCUGAAACUCACAAAUACACAGGGAAGAUCUGGCCUGGAUAAAGUCCCUCCCCAUGGUGCAAAACCUGGAAAGAUGGUGGCGAUCAGCAGACAGCACAAUCAUUCUGCCUGACCAUCUGAGUAGACACUGCUCCAAAAGAUUCACCGCUCCUCUCACGUGGGGAUUUGUAGGAUGCAAAAUCUGUUGAGACACUCAAAAACUAAAAUCAGAGAUGGAAAGCAAAAAAUUGCAGACAUAGUCUCCCAGUGCAAGGCCUGUGUGCUGACCAAUGCUGCUGCCAGUCCUAAAAAUCCUGGAACCCGGCUCAGAGGAAAGAAGCCUGGUGUGUAUUGGGAAGUAGAUUUCACAGAAAUUAAACCUGGCAAGUAUGGGCAGAGAUAUCUGUUAGUGCGUAUAGACACCUUCUCAGGCUGGAUGGAAGCAUUCCCCACCAAGCACGAGAUAGUACAGGAGGUGGCAAAUAUGCUCCUAGAAGACACCCGGCCCAGGUAUGGAUUUCCCACUGUGACAGGACCAGACAAUGGACCAGCUUUUGUGUCCCAGGUUCUGGCCAGGGCACUGGGUCUAUGUGAGAAGGCAUCGCCAGAGCCCAGGUGGAAGGGACCUUUCCUCACCCUGCUGACGGACACCCGCUGCCAUUAAGGUUGACGGCAUAGUCUCCUGAAUCUUUUACACUCAUGCCAGACCUGCAGAUCCCUUCGCACUCAAAGAAGACUACAGAGGAGAAGGAUGGGAAGUUCUUUUAAGUAGGCUGGUACAGUUCAAAGAAAGACUUGGAACUAUUCGACUAGUGGUUGCCGGAUGCCAAUCGGUGGUAACAUGUCACAGGAGAGGCUCGUUAUCAACCCUGACAGAGGAAACUCAGAGGGGCUUGAUGGAAUCGGAUGAGCUGGGACAAAACCGAGACCCAUGAUUGGGCUCUCACAGGCACAAGAAAGAGAAUGAAGGAGCAGGACAAACUCCAUUCUGAGAAAGAACUCCAUUUUAGCUGCACUUGACCUAGGGCUGACCCAGCUUCAGUUAAAGUCAAAAUGACAUUUCUAAGAAAAACCACAAACUGUGCCUGCCCCCGGUCAAAGUGACCCCACCCGGUGGCCAGCCAAUGACUAGCAACAAUGCUUGCUUGAGAUGUCCUUGUGGGCACCUGAUAAUUGCUGUUUGGAAACUCCUCUAGACCCAGCCAAUGAAUUCAAAAGUCCCCUACCCUUACUGAAUUUGUAUCCAAUCAUGUAACGCCAAGGCUGUACCACCCUGCUGGAGGCUUUUCCCUUUAAAAACCCCCUGCUUCAAAGGUUCAAGACUGGUUGGCUCCACCUGCGCCGUCGGAGUGCUGGAUGAUGAUCCAAACUCGAGUUUGUAGUCAAUAAAACCGU
This is a non-coding RNA of Myodes glareolus (Bank vole), 2114 nucleotides long. NCBI's taxonomy places the organism in Eukaryota, Metazoa, Chordata, Mammalia, Rodentia, Cricetidae. The record is from RefSeq and is a predicted model, not a curated record.